Molecule: ribosomal RNA, 373 nt
Filed under: uncultured bacterium
Lineage: Bacteria
Description: bacterial SSU rRNA
Rfam family: Bacterial small subunit ribosomal RNA
Source: RNAcentral
GUAGGGUGCGAGCGUUAAUCGGAAUUACUGGGCGUAAAGUGUGCGCAGGCGGCAGAGCAAGUCGAGUGUGAAAGCCCCGGGCUUAACUUGGGAAUUGCGCUCGAAACUACUUUGCUGGAGUGUGGCAGAGGAAGGUGGAAUUCCACGUGUAGCGGUGAAAUGCGUAGAGAUGUGGAGGAACACCGAUGGCGAAGGCAGCCUUCUGGGCCAACACUGACGCUCAUGCACGAAAGCGUGGGGAGCAAACAGGAUUAGAUACCCUGGUAGUCCACGCCCUAAACGAUGAUGACUAGUUGUUGGAGGAGUUAAAUCCUUUAGUAACGCAGCUAACGCGUGAAGUCAUCCGCCUGGGGAGUACGGUCGCAAGAUUAAA